This 238-nucleotide long non-coding RNA is filed under the name Ananas comosus (pineapple). RNAcentral describes it as "long non-coding RNA (ACOM_LNC009207)". The record is from RNAcentral. Lineage: Eukaryota; Viridiplantae; Streptophyta; Magnoliopsida; Poales; Bromeliaceae.
UUCAUUAAAUAUGACAUACAGUGUUGAAACUAUUUAAAAAUCAAAUUUUAUUAUUUUUUUAUUUCGUUUAUCUACUAAACGAGUACCCUCAAAAUUAAUAGUUGAAAAUAAAAAUUUAAUAAAAGGCAGUAAUAAAAGACUUAAAUUUUAAAUCGAAAAUAUUUAUCUAAUUUGAAGGUAAUCAGAGUUUUCUGUUAAAAUGUUGUCUAAUUUAAAUUGUUCUAUACCGUUGAAAUAA